GAAUUCAUAUUCGUAGCAGAUAGCUCAGUAACACGUGGCCAAACUACCCUAUAGACCAGAAUAACCUCGGGAAACUGAGGCUAAUGCUGGAUACUCCUCUAUUCCUGGAAUGGAUUGAGGUACAAAUGCUCCGGCGCUAUAGAAUGUGGCUGCGGCCGAUUAGGUAGACGGUGGGGUAACGGCCCACCGUGCCAAUAAUCGGUACGGGUUGUGAGAGCAAGAGCCCGGAGACGGAAUCUGAGACAAGAUUCCGGGCCCUACGGGGCGCAGCAGGCGCGAAAACUUUACACUGCACGACAGUGCGAUAAGGGGACUCCGAGUGCGUGGGCAUAGUGCCCUCGCUUUUGUGAACCGUANGGAGGUUCACGAAUAAGAACUGGGCAAGACCGGUGCCAGCCGCCGCGGUAACACCGGCAGUUCGAGUGAUGACCGAUUUUAUUGGGCCUAAAGCGUCCGUACCGGCCAGGCAAGUCUGUUGGGAAAUCUACUCGCUCAACGA
RNAcentral lists this ribosomal RNA (499 nucleotides) under uncultured Halobacteria archaeon. RNAcentral describes it as "bacterial SSU rRNA". It matches the Rfam family "Archaeal small subunit ribosomal RNA", at positions 64 to 565 of the family's 1478-position model. Lineage: Archaea; Methanobacteriati; Methanobacteriota; Halobacteria. The record is from RNAcentral.